UGGGGUAUAGCUCAGUGGUAGAGUGUUUGACUGCAGAUCAAGUGGUCCUUGGUUCAAAUCCAAGUGCUCUCUAA
Non-coding RNA from Mauremys mutica (yellowpond turtle), 74 nucleotides. NCBI's taxonomy places the organism in Eukaryota, Metazoa, Chordata, Testudines, Geoemydidae. The record is from the annotation of a RefSeq genome assembly.